This 468-nucleotide ribosomal RNA is filed under the name uncultured bacterium. RNAcentral's name for it is "partial 16S ribosomal RNA". It matches the Rfam family "Bacterial small subunit ribosomal RNA", at positions 28 to 507 of the family's 1533-position model. The record is from RNAcentral.
GAUGAACGCUGGCGGCGUGCCUAACACAUGCAAGUCGAACGGAAAGGCCCUGCUUUUGUGGGGUGCUCGAGUGGCGAACGGGUGAGUAACACGCGUGUAUCCUGCCCUUGACUUUGGGAUAACUUCAGGAAACUGGGGCUAAUAUCGGAUAGGAGCUCCUGCAGCACGGUGGGGGUUGGAAAGUUUCGGCGGUUGGGGAUGGACUCGCGGCUUAUCAGCUUGUUGGUCGGGUAGUGGUUUACCAAGGCUUUGACGGGUAGCCGGCCUGAGAGGGUGACCGGGCACAAUGGGCCUAAGGUACGGACCAGACGCGAACGGGAGGCAGCGGGCGGGAGUAUUGCACAGUGAGCCGAAGCCUGUUGCGAAGGCGCUGGGUGCGUAAAGACGUCCUUCGGGUUAUAAACCGCUUUCGCCUGUGACGAAGCGUGAGUGACGGUAAUGGAUAAAGAAGCACCGGCUAACUACGUG